RNAcentral lists this ribosomal RNA (253 nucleotides) under uncultured bacterium. Its description in RNAcentral is "partial 16S ribosomal RNA". It matches the Rfam family "Bacterial small subunit ribosomal RNA", at positions 524 to 776 of the family's 1533-position model. The record is from RNAcentral.
UACGAAGGGGGCUAGCGUUGCUCGGAAUUAUUGGGCGUAAAGAGCUCGUAGGCGGUUUGUCGCGUCUGCCGUGAAAGUCCGGGGCUUAACUCCGGAUCUGCGGUGGGUACGGGCAGACUUGAGUGAUGUAGGGGAGACUGGAAUUCCUGGUGUAGCGGUGAAAUGCGCAGAUAUCAGGAGGAACACCGAUGGCGAAGGCAGGUCUCUGGGCAUUAACUGACGCUGAGGAGCGAAAGCAUGGGGAGCGAACAGG